GUAAAACAACCAAAAUUAGAAAUCUAGUAUUUUAGAUUUAAAUGAGAAUGAGAAAAGAUGAGAAAAUGCGAAACUAUAAUACGAAAGCUAAACCUCGAUUUCACGAACAAAAUUUGACGGAAAUUGCCCACGGUUAUGGUCAUCCUCUCCAACGACAAAUCCCUCCCACCAGCCGUCUUCAUAAAGCUUAAGAACUGCAAUGGUAUCUCCCUUCCUGAAGCUUAUCUCUUCGGGUAUUGCAGCAUCAUAAUCAUAUAAAGCAGAUACUAAAUUCAAGUUAGUAAUUGUAAUAGCGAUGGACAGAUUAGACAUACCAUAACCAAGAAUACGUUGACCAUCUGUACUUGUUGGAUUAUCAAUACUGGUGUCACCGCCGUCUGUAGGAUAUGCAGGUAAAGAAAGUCGGUUAGACGUGUUUCCAGUAGCUUUUGUAUUUAUUGUAUCAUCAACAAAGGAAGAGUCCCGAUCAGUAUAAGGCUCGUCAUCGGUAGGUGCAGUACCACUUGCUGGAUCAACUCGAACACCGAAAUCAUAAUUUGGCUCUAAAUUUCCUGGUGUUAAGGAACGAGGAAGUCGGCUGGCAUUCUGAGAAAGGGAAGAGGAAGGACGUUUUGGUGACCUACUUUUCCUCAAUGUGAAUGAACUUCGAGAUCCAUUCUUUCUUGAAUCAUAAACGGGUGAAACCGCACGAUUCUCCAUUUGUAGUACACUACCAAAUUCUUCCUGAAUUUGUUGACGCCGUGAUGGAGUGUUAACAUUUGGGCGGGAGUCCUCGGUGAAAGAAACAGAAUUAGGACUUGGUAGAGAACCAAGUUCGUUAUACCUUGGUGGUAGUGUAUUAGAGUUAGGGAAGGCACCAGGAGCAGCAGGCGUAGGAUUCUGUUUUGGCUCUUCUUGUAAAGAAAGAUGCUUCAUCUGUUCAUCAGCCGCUGAAGUUAAAGGAGAGUCAUUUCUCGGACUUGAUAAUGCAUCCGGAGCCGUAUUACCAACGUUUGGAGUCGAAGGACGACUCGUUAAUUUAAACUUACUCAAAAAGCUUUUCUUUGGAGAGCUUCUACCAUUUUGGGAAGAGUUAGAAGAAACAGUGGUAAGCGAUUGAAUUGCACUAGGAGUAUUAGGAAGGGUAUUUUCGAAGGACGACUCAUUACGAGCGGUGGCAGAAAGGACGUAUGGACGAUUCAAUGGCAUGUUGUCAUUUUCUAUUUUGGUUUGGGCCCGCUGAAAAUUAGCCUGAACCAACUCUACAGAAUCAUCGGGAACCUCGCCCUUAUAAUAGUCAUAAAAUUUUGGAGGUUGAGGAAUUCCCGUUCCUGUAGAUUUUGCGUCAAUAAAUUCCAAAACAUCCUGAGAGACACUGCACUGUUCAAGAUUUUUGCGAAUUCGUUCACAUGCUUGAUCAUCAUUAAAGCAACUACGAGAGAUAAGUAGUGUAAAUGUCCACAUGACGCUUUUCAGGAAAUGUCUUCUUUCUUCUUCAAUGUCCUGAAGUUUGUCACAGGUUGACCGCCAUUCGUUGGUCCAACGAGCGUAUGAAUCUCUGACAGCUGCUACAGCUGAUUGAUAGUCAGAAGAACUAGCAGUGAUAGCAUUCUGAGUCUUGUUUAAUUUCGCAUUGUUCUUCUCUAGCUCCUUUCCGAAAAGCAUGUUUUGCUGAGAAACAUAGUAAUUUACUUUCUUGCACAAGUAAUGGUAUUUGUCUUGAGCUUUAACAAGAGCUUGAUGCUUGGAGAGUUUAUCCUUAUGAACUUUUUCUAUCCCCGAAACGAUCAUCUUUUUCUUGUCCUUUAAAGAGGCAGCGUACCGCGUAAACGCAUUUUCGACAUCAUCCUGAAGCAACUGAGAAAUCUGCAAAUGAGACUUUGCCAUAUUGUCAACUUCAGCUUUCAUAACUUGGACUGAUUCUUUGAGGCAACCAGUUUCCAAAGAACUGAAGGUUGUUCGAGACAACUUUGCCAUUCGCUUGGCAUAAUCUUCUUCAAUGUUCGCUCUAAGGUUGAAGUUAGAAUAAACGAUCAUAGCAUGUUAAACCCUGCUUCACCUCAAAUUUCUCACCUUUCAUGAUAAAACGACCGAAGCUCUUCAUUAAUGUGUUUCACAUCGCUAAAACGCGAAAGUAAAGCAUGAUAACCCUCAUCAUUUGCACCCUAAUAAAGAAUGUUAGUUAAGGUGUUGUGUUUAACACAAAAAUCGAAAGUUUUGGCAGAUAAUGAGCUAUCCACGUUGGCUUAGACACCAUACCCAAAAGUAAUUUGAAAAACUUUUAUCAGGCUUUGCUGAAGAUGCAUUAAAGCUUAAUUGUUGAGACAUGUAAACGGAAAAAAACACGAAUUAAGAGAUUUUUCAAUCUCGCCUUUAUGGCAGUAUUCUUUAUUCGUAUAUGGUGGUGGUGUUGAUUGUAAAUGAAACUAACAACGAGGUAAACAAACGGCAACGCGUUGCCAGGUGCAGCUUUUCAUGUCAACAAUUAACAAAUUUAUCAAGAAAACCGAUGUAAUGAAGAUUUUUCAGCCUUAAACUAUCAAAAAAAAGCAAUAGAAUAUUGCAGUGGAAAGAUAAAAAGCCUUCAAAUGCUGAGAUAUAUAUGGUGAACAAUUGAUUCAUUCAAAGUCCACUUUAUUCAUCCUUGAGACUCUAUAAUUGUUAUCUCUGUUAAGCGCACAAGUUUUGCUCACUAUUUUGUAUUGAUUAUGUGUGAAUACUGUGAUUUGAGAAGCGACCCAAGGCAGUCCUGAAAAAAAAUACUUACCAUAAACUCCGGUAAGCGAACUUAUAGACUUAGACAUUAUGCUAAUAAAACAAUGAUUUAGCAUGUAUGUAUUUGCAGACUUCACGUUCUGUAUAGCUAUCUCCCGUCUCAAAUCGUUUUACUAUGUAAAAUAUUAAAUUUUUGAAUGGAAUGCAACAUGCUAUUAAUCAAAAACUUAAUAUACUAUGCAAGCGGUUCAGGCGUACUGA
This 2955-nucleotide long non-coding RNA is filed under the name Schizosaccharomyces pombe (fission yeast). The record is from RNAcentral. Lineage: Eukaryota; Fungi; Ascomycota; Schizosaccharomycetes; Schizosaccharomycetales; Schizosaccharomycetaceae.